CCUACGGGUGGCAGCAGUGAGGAAUAUUGGUCAAUGGACGAGAGUCUGAACCAGCCAAGUAGCGUGAAGGAUGACUGCCCUAUGGGUUGUAAACUUCUUUUAUAAAGGAAUAAAACGAGGCACGUGUGCCUUUUUGUAUGUACUUUAUGAAUAAGGAUCGGCUAACUCCGUGCCAGCAGCCGCGGUAAUACGGAGGAUCCGAGCGUUAUCCGGAUUUAUUGGGUUUAAAGGGAGCGUAGAUGGGUUGUUAAGUCAGUUGUGAAAGUUUGCGGCUCAACCGUAAAAUUGCAAUUGAUACUGGCAGUCUUGAGUACAGUUGAGGUAGGCGGAAUUCGUGGUGUAGCGGUGAAAUGCUUAGAUAUCACGAAGAACCCCGAUUGCGAAGGCAGCUUACUAAACUGUGACUGACAUUGAUGCUCGAAAGUGUGGGUAUCAAACAGGAGUAGAUACCCCAGUAGUC
This 460-nucleotide ribosomal RNA is filed under the name uncultured bacterium. RNAcentral's name for it is "partial 16S ribosomal RNA". It matches the Rfam family "Bacterial small subunit ribosomal RNA", at positions 338 to 795 of the family's 1533-position model. The record is from RNAcentral.